RNAcentral lists this ribosomal RNA (918 nucleotides) under Phaeocystis sp. JD-2012. RNAcentral's name for it is "eukaryotic LSU rRNA". It matches the Rfam family "Eukaryotic large subunit ribosomal RNA", at positions 132 to 1089 of the family's 3401-position model. The record is from RNAcentral. Lineage: Eukaryota; Haptophyta; Phaeocystales; Phaeocystaceae.
UGCCCCCUGAAUUGUAGUCUGGAGAGGCGCCAUCGGCCACGCCCGGCGCUCAAGUCCCUUGGAACGGGGUAUCGGAGAAGGUGAGAAUCCUGUGCCGCGCCGGCGCGUGGCCGCACGAUGCGUUCUCGUAGAGUCGGGCUGCUUGGGAGUGCAGCCUGAAGCGGGUGGUAAAUUCCAUCUAAAGCUAAAUACUGGCGAGAGACCGAUAGCGAACAAGUACCGUGAGGGAAAGAUGCAAAGAACUUUGAAAAGAGAGUUAAAGAGUGCUUGAAAUUGGCAGGAGGAAACCCGGUUGCGCGUGGCAUCGCGCGGCGUCGACUCAGCCGUCUUCGCGGCCUGUAGGGGACCUAACGGCUCCGUGGUUGAAGAAGGCGGUGCACUUCGGCGUCGCGGGUCAGCCGCGGCUCGGCGGGGGCAAYACGGCGUUUGGCAGGGCUUCGGCGUCGCCUUUCGUGAUGGCCCGCGCUGGGCUCCGGCUGAUGCGCACGGGCGCAACCGACCCGUCUAGAAACACGGACCAAGGAGUCUGACGCGUGUGCGAGUACCCGGGUGGCAAGCCCGCGUGCGCAAUGAAAGUGAAGGGCGUGCCCCGCCAACCGACCUUGAUCUUCUGUGAAGGGUUUGAGUGGAGCACACGAGUCGGGACCCGAAAGAUGGUGAACUAUGCCUGAGGAGGGUGAAGCCAGAGGAAACUCUGGUGGAGGCUCGUAGCGAUACUGACGUGCAAAUCGUUCGUCGAACUUGGGUAUAGGGGCGAAAGACUAAUCGAACCAUCUAGUAGCUGGUUCCCUCCGAAGUUUCCCUCAGGAUAGCUUGAACGCCGACGGUUUUGUCAGGUAAAGCGAAUGAUUAGAGGCCUUGGGGCUGAAACAGCCUUAACCUAUUCUCAAACUUUAAAUGGGCAAGAGGCGAGGGAUG